Molecule: non-coding RNA, 108 nt
Organism: Gossypium hirsutum (cotton)
Lineage: Eukaryota; Viridiplantae; Streptophyta; Magnoliopsida; Malvales; Malvaceae
Source: Rfam
GGUGUAUGGAAUGAAGUUUGAUCCAAGAUCCAUCAAUCAUCUCUCUUUUUUAAGUCAUGAAUUAUGAUGAUAUUAAUGGAUCUCGGACCAGGCUUCAUUCCUCACACC